GGAGGCGAAGAUGCGAAAAAAUACAAGCAGUGAUGAGAAAAUACGAAAUCAAUGCGCCGAUAUCGGGUAGUCCGCAGGUUCGAGUCCUGUCGCCUCGACCA
RNAcentral lists this transfer RNA (101 nucleotides) under Oscillospiraceae bacterium. Its description in RNAcentral is "tRNA-Ile". The record is from RNAcentral. Lineage: Bacteria; Bacillati; Bacillota; Clostridia; Eubacteriales; Oscillospiraceae.